This 262-nucleotide unclassified non-coding RNA is filed under the name plant metagenome. Its description in RNAcentral is "partial contains small subunit ribosomal RNA, internal transcribed spacer 1, and 5.8S ribosomal RNA". The record is from RNAcentral.
UCUCCGUUGGUGAACCAGCGGAGGGAUCAUUACCGACUUUACAACUCCCAAACCCCUAUGUGAACGUUACCAAACUGUUGCCUCGGCGGGAAAUUCAUGCCCCGGGCGCGUCGCAGCCCCGGACCAAGGCGCCCGCCGGAGGACCAACCAAAACUCUUUUGUAUGUCCCUCGCGGCUUUUUAUAAUUCUGAACCAUCUCGGCGCCCCCAGCGGGGGUUUCGAAAAUGAAUCAAAACUUUCAACAACGGAUCUCUUGGUUCUG